Molecule: long non-coding RNA, 736 nt
Organism: Lycium barbarum (goji berry)
Lineage: Eukaryota; Viridiplantae; Streptophyta; Magnoliopsida; Solanales; Solanaceae
Exons: 2
Source: RefSeq, a predicted model, not a curated record
UGUUUGGACCAUUUUGGUCAACUGAGUUUGUAGAUAGUUAUUUGGGCCAGUUUUAACCUGCCCCAUUUUGACAACAUAUAGCCCAAGGCCCAGACAUUUCAUGAUAACUAGGGUUUCAUCCUAAGCUGUUCUACUUUAUUUAAGCGAUGCAAAGCUAUAGUUUCAAAUAGGGCAAUACUCUGAAAAUCCUCGAGCCAACUAAGGUGAUUCCACGUCAUCACAACGACCUAUUGGGGUGAAGAAAGCAAAAUUGAAGAGAAAAAUCGAAGAAGGUUUUUCAUCUGCUAUGUAAAUGGUCCAAUCAGAAAAUAAUCGGCUUGUUGAGUUGUUGGCAAAGUUAGGUGCAGACAGGCAGCGAGAUUUGGAGAUGAAAGAUAGAGCUUUGAAACUAAAAGAAUUUAAAGAAGAAAAUAAAAUUUUAUUGUCAAAUUUAAAUUCUAUUGGUGAUUCAAAUAUUCGUGAAUUUAUUUGACAAGAACAAAAACGAAUAAUGUAUAAAAGAAGUUUAACAAUUUCAACAGUCACAACCACAACCAUCCUCUGCCCCGUACACUUAACAUUUUAAUGAUAUUGGUGGAUCUGGAAAUGACCUACCAGAGUAUUAAAUUAUUGUUAUAAUUUUCUAAAUUAUUAUGUUGUUUAAUGUAUUGAACAUUGUUAUGUUAUUGAUCAUUGUGUUGUUAUUGAACAUUAUGUUAUAAUUGUGUUAUAUAUUCGAAAUUAUUAUGUUAUUGAA